UGCAGGGACCAGCAGCAAUGCUUGGGCCAUACAGUCCUUCUGUGUCUGUACUUCAAUCACCAAUUCCAGGCUGGCAUUCCCCACACUGGUGUAGGUGUUGUACAACUAAGGGCACCAAGACUGACCCACAGGAGAGACUCGGACAGAGACCCCUUUGACCUGGGAUUUGGAGUGUAAAUCCACUUCUGGCACCUAGCUGUGCAGGAAGGGAAUGCUCCCAUAUGCUUUAUACUGUGAGAACUGCUCAAAGAAAGUACAGGGAAUAUUUUUUGCUUGUGGUGUAAUUUGACACAUGAUAUGCCACAGCAAGUUUCUAGGGCAAAGAAUGCUAUCCUAGUAUGCAUCUGAUAUAAUUAAGGAUGUAUGACUUAAUUACCAGCAAAUGGCAGCAGCCUGAACUGAUACCACUGGAGUGAGAUACAACAUUGUGGCUUUGCUUUCCAUCUAGGGUAUUGCAGUAUGUGCUAAAAAUACUGUUGAGCACAUGGAAAUACAGAGUGUUAUCACAUACGGGGGGGAAGAAGGAAUGUCAGACCCAUUAGAAGCAACCAUAGAAGAGGGACAACUUAGCACUGAAUGUCCUGAGGUAAGGCAUUUUAAGUUGCCAGCAAGAUAAGAUGGGACUUAGUUGCCAUUCCUUAUCCCUCCCUCCAUUUGUCCCUCACAGGAUGAGAAAACAAUCUAUUUGGAAGCAACUCAUAAGUAAAAAAAAAGCAUACAGGACUCCGAGUUUAGCACGUGCAGAAUAGAGCACGUGUAAAUACAUCCAGAACAGGUGCACGGAGGGACGAUGCAACUGUCUGCUCAUUCUGCCUGCAGGAGGUACAUGGUGCUGCAGAACUACGAGGUUGGUGGAUCCAGAAAAUGGGACCUGGUGAAUUCCAUACCGAAGUGUUGUCAGUAUCUGAUGCACACAAGAGGAAGUGGAUGGAAGUCAAUGGAAGUCGUUUGUCCUGCCCAUGAGAGGUGACACUCCAGAAUACUCCUUUGUGCCUGUUCUACUCGG
Coturnix japonica (Japanese quail) is the source of this 1006-nucleotide non-coding RNA. NCBI's taxonomy places the organism in Eukaryota, Metazoa, Chordata, Aves, Galliformes, Phasianidae. The record is from RefSeq and is a predicted model, not a curated record.